Ipomoea nil (Japanese morning glory) is the source of this 72-nucleotide transfer RNA. It matches the Rfam family "tRNA". From Rfam's summary of the family: Transfer RNA (tRNA) molecules are approximately 80 nucleotides in length. The record is from Rfam. Lineage: Eukaryota; Viridiplantae; Streptophyta; Magnoliopsida; Solanales; Convolvulaceae.
AGGCAUUUGGUCUAGUGGUAUGAUUCUCACUUUGGGUGCGAGAGGUCUUUAGUUCGAUUCUUGAAAUGCCCC